CUCCGGGUGGAUUUGAAGUGGAGACGUGGAAUCUUCCAUGUUAUUCUGGAAUGUGGGAUAAGACAGGGUCCCAUGAUAUGGACCCCUCUUCGAAUGGGUUGAUGCUGGUCCUGCUGGAGCUGAUGAUCUGAACCAGUCUGUCAGCCACCUAGCUCCCCCUCCUCCAAACACAACCACUGCCCAUGUCCUGAUCCCAGUGGUCCAGCUUGUCUGUGGUGACUGGUUGGCUGGCUGUUCCAUAACACUCUCAUUGGCCCUGGGACUCCUCUUCUAC
Long non-coding RNA from Oncorhynchus nerka (sockeye salmon), 274 nucleotides. RefSeq lists it as uncharacterized. The record is from RefSeq and is a predicted model, not a curated record. Lineage: Eukaryota; Metazoa; Chordata; Actinopteri; Salmoniformes; Salmonidae. The transcript is spliced from 3 exons.